This is a long non-coding RNA of Nymphalis io (European peacock), 202 nucleotides long. RefSeq lists it as uncharacterized. The transcript has 2 exons. Lineage: Eukaryota; Metazoa; Arthropoda; Insecta; Lepidoptera; Nymphalidae. The record is from RefSeq and is a predicted model, not a curated record.
CAAUUAAAAGCGGAAAUAUAUCUAGUCUUUACUGAAUGAAAAUGAAAGGUGUGGAAGUAAUUCAACUGGCGAAGAAUCUUCGUUCACGUAGAAGAUGACGCUGAACGGGGUGCCUAAAAAUACGUCACAAGUCACAAUAAUUUAUCGAGAUAUUCAACGGUUUUGUUGUUAAGUUGAAAACAAUAAAACAAUAUUAAUAUUU